This is a long non-coding RNA of Haliotis rubra (blacklip abalone), 240 nucleotides long. RefSeq lists it as uncharacterized. The transcript has 3 exons. Lineage: Eukaryota; Metazoa; Mollusca; Gastropoda; Lepetellida; Haliotidae. The record is from RefSeq and is a predicted model, not a curated record.
GACAAGUACUAAAGGAUCUAUUGACCUGGUCCAUGUCCAUCCUAAAGACGAGGACGAGCUGGUGGUCAUCAAGAAAGCUGUCACCAGUCUUUUCUCUGUUACUGUCAGGGACUCUGGAGGAAGCACGAACUCGUAUGAGACAACAGAUCUAGAUCACCUAGGAAAUCUAACGCACAAGUACAACGUGGUUACGACGCCGUCUGGAAGAACAUUGACUCGUUCCCACUUCAGUCAUGAGAG